Vigna angularis (adzuki bean) is the source of this 5759-nucleotide RNA transcript. RefSeq lists it as uncharacterized. Lineage: Eukaryota; Viridiplantae; Streptophyta; Magnoliopsida; Fabales; Fabaceae. The transcript has 14 exons. The record is from RefSeq and is a predicted model, not a curated record.
GCACGUACAAAUUAACUAGUUGUACUUGUAGGUCAGGUCCUUCAAUCUGUUCCAAUACCGCGCGUGCUAUUAUCUUUCGCUCUUCUGCCAUUGUAGCUUCCUAUACAAGAACGAACACAAAAAACCCUAACCCUAACUUCUCAUCCAAUCAUGGCUACCGAUGCCCGUGACUCGCGUCACAAGCAUCGCCGAUCACCCUCCCCAGAGGAUGUGGACAGAUCCUCGAAGCGCCACAAGCACCGCCAUCGCCAUCGCCACCGCCACCGUCACGGGAGCAAAAAGCGCGAUGAAGAUAUUGAAUUCGACGAUCGAACAAUUGCUGCUGUUCCUUGUCCAACUCCGCAUAGACAUGUACAGGAGGACGAUGUGGAGGAAGGAGAGAUCCUCGACGACGAAGCUCUCGAUAGCGAGGUAGGGAAAAAAGAGACUGAAUCUGAUGUCGAACCUGGUGAAAUCAAGGUGACUGGAGAUCGAGAUGUUCAAUCCGAUAAUCAAAAUUCGGGAGACCUCACUGUAAAUUCAGAAACUAAUGAGGACAUCAGGGUUGAUAAAUUUAUUAGUCCUGCAACCAAUGCAGAUGGUGUCUCUCCUAAUCGUUUAAGUGCUGAGACUCAAGAUGGAAAGCAUGCUACAGAUGGUCUGGACAAUGGUUAUUUGAAUCCUAAAUCUUCCAGGGCAGAUAAGUCGCGGAAUGGUGAGCUUGGACAUUUUAAAGGGAAUGAGAAACUAAAAGGUGACUUUGAUGCACUGGAGGCUAAUGUUAGGAAAACACAUUUCCAUAGGAAUUCGUCAUCCGAAAGUGGGGGAGACAAAGGUAGAAUAUCAGGAAGUUCUCCUUCUCAUGGCAGAUAUAGAAGUCGAUCAAGAUCAAUUGGUCAUACAAGAGACAGGUCUCGUUCUCGUAGUGUCAUAGAUGAAUAUGAUCAUUCCAAGAGAAGGCGCUCUGAAUAUGACUAUGAUGAGGAAAGAGUGAGGGCACGUGGAAGGGAACAUGGUCAUGGAAGUGUGGUAGAUGAUAGAAGGGAAUACAGUAGUGGAUAUCACAAUCGCGAGGCCCAUGAUAGAGAUAGGAGUAGGGAUAGAGACUUGUACAGCGAAAAAAAACAAGAGGAAACAAGCAGGGGUAAGGAGAUUGAGAGGGACCGCCAAAGGGUAAAGGAACGUGAAAGGAGCCGUGAGAGAUAUAAAAGGGAUGUAGAAAAAGACAGGAGCAGGGAAAGGGAGGAUAGGGACAGGAGGCAAGAAAAGGAAAGAGAUAGGAGCUGGGAGACGGUGUUUGAGAGGGAUAUGAGAAGGGAAAAGGAAAGAGAUAGGAGUAGGGACAGAACAAGAGAUGCUAAGAGAGAUAGAGACCUGGAGAAUGAAAGGGAUGAUAAGAAUCGAGAAAGGGAUAAUAUUAAGGAGAGGGCAAGGCGUGAUGAUAGAUAUAGGCACAAGGAUAGAGACACUGCAAAUGGUAAAGAUAGGCAUGUGCGUCAUGAAGAUGGUAAUGACAAUGGAGAUAAAUAUAGAAAACAUUCGAGACAUGAAGAAAAUGAUUACCAUUGGGAUAGAAAAAGAAAUCCUGGUAAUCCUGUAAAGGAUUAUACUUCAAGGGGGGGAAGUACUGCAGAAGUGGAUGAAAGCAAACUAACAAGCAGUGAGGUUGAACCAGAUGACUUAGAGGAGGAUACAUUGCACUUACCUGACCAAGAAGAGGAAGAUCUCAACAGGAUCAAAGAAGAAAGUAGAAGAAGAAGGGAAGCAAUAAUGGAGAAAUACAAGAAACAGCAUCAGCAAGUAGAAGUGGUUGGAAAUGAACGAAAAGACAAGGAUACAGACAGUCAAACUGAAACCUAUGAAGCACAUGAUGGUAAGAAUGAUGAUGCCGAUUAUGUGGAGCCAUCAUUUGCUGUUGGAAAAUCUCCUGAAAAUGUGACUGUUGCUUCUCAGAAGAUAUCUCUUGCUGGAGGCCUGGGAGAGGGUACUCCAAAGAGUGAAAGGUCAGAGGACAAGUACUGUGACGAUAUAUUUGGGGAGACACCAACGGGAGUUCGAAAAUCAGGAAAAGGUGAUGGUUUAAUGAUUGAAAGGGUUGGCCUACAUGACAACUGGGAUGAUGCAGAGGGAUACUACAGCUAUCGAAUUGGUGAAAUACUUGAUGGCCGGUAUGAAGUCACUGCUGCACACGGGAGGGGUGUCUUUUCAACAGUUGUUCGGGCAAAGAAUCUGAAGGUGGGAAAUGGUGAGCCAGAGGAAGUAGCAAUAAAAAUAAUUCGUAAUAAUGACACCAUGUACAAGGCUGGUAUGGAUGAAUUGGUCAUAUUGAAGAAAUUAGUAGGUGCAGAUCCAGAUGAUAAACGUCAUUGUGUUCGUUUCCUUUCAAGUUUUAGAUACAGGAAUCAUCUUUGUUUAGUUUUUGAAUCUCUUAAUAUGAAUCUCCGUGAGGUUUUAAAGAAGUUUGGUCGCAAUAUUGGCCUUAGGCUAACAGCUGUGAGAGCAUACGCAAAACAGCUUUUUAUUGCCUUGAAGCAUCUCCGGAACUGUGGUGUUCUUCAUUGUGACAUAAAGCCAGAUAAUAUGUUGGUAAAUGAGGCUAAAAAUGUUUUGAAGCUUUGUGACUUUGGUAAUGCAAUGUUUGCUGGUAAAAAUGAAGUUACACCAUAUCUUGUGAGUCGUUUUUAUCGUGCCCCAGAAAUAAUACUUGGCUUGGCAUAUGAUCAUCCAUUGGAUAUUUGGUCUGUAGGCUGUUGUUUGUAUGAGUUAUAUGUAGGUAAGGUUCUUUUCCCUGGGCUUACUAACAAUGACAUGCUACGACUUCACAUGGAACUGAAGGGCCCUUUUCCAAAGAAGAUGCUACGAAAGGGAGCAUUUACUGAACAACAUUUUGAUCAGGACCUGAAUUUUCUUGCAACAGAGGAAGAUCCUGUGACAAAAAAGGCCAUAAAGCGGCUGAUUCUCAACAUUAAGCCAAAAGAUAUUGGGACACUCAUCACUGGCUCUUCCGGGGAGGAUCCAAAAAUGUUGGCCAACUUUAGGGAUCUUUUGGAAAAAGUUUUUGUCCUGGAUCCAGACAAGAGGCUGACAGUGUCACAAGCUCUGAACCACCCAUUCAUCACUGGCAAGUGAACAAUGUUGCUGAAAUUGACUCCCAAAAUGAUAUACUGAUAUUUGUACAUAAUGAUCCAAUUGAUAUUGAGGUUCUAAUUUUAUUUGGCACUAUCUAUCUUCUGUGUAUGGCCCAAGGAGUGUCAUCACAGUUGUCAGCAUGUUGAAGUGAAAAAAGGGUGAUGUCUCUCUACAGGCGUACACUUUACUGGCGGUUCUUUCAGUGGAAUGUACUGUUUCUAUUGACACAUAUCACUGGUUUGAGGCAUCCCUUCAUGCUUAGAUGCUUAAAAGGAACCCAGGAGAAGGUACCUUGGCUUGUUUAUUGGGAGAUUAAUUUCACCGUGCUGGAAUGAGUUAUGAUUUCCAUUUUCAUUAACAGUGGUAAUAGAAUAACUACCACAUUCGAGUAGGAACUUAUUUCAAUGAGCUUGAGCUGUCAAUUUUUUUUAUGAGGAGAAUCAGUGGUUAUUGGUGCUGUUUGAGCUACUCACGUUAAUUAUUGUUGUUAGCUGGGUACAUGAGUUAAGGGGAGGGAAGUGGUCAGUGAUGAACUUGCUUCCGAUUCUAGAUACACGUGCCACUAGGCCAUAUGCCUAGUUUUUACUGCCUUUUAAAUUGUUUCAGUAUAAAUGGUCGAAUUCCCAAGCAAUAGCUUUUUCCGCGUAUUUCUUUUAAUUUUUAGUCAUGACUUAGGUGUGUGGAUAUUUUUUUCUUGAAUUGUACUUGAGCAUGCCUUUCCAUCUGUUGUCUUGUGUUAUUUAUAAUACUUUUUUUCCUUAAAUUUACCCAUACACAUAUCCUAAUAAACUUGUGUUGCAUCUUAUCCAUGGCGGGUCAUGUUGGAGGCAAUUCCACUGGAUGUCUUUGGCUAUGUUCUUGAAGCAAAUCCGUUUGACGGUAGCAUCUUGGUCCUGCAAUUUUUGUAAGUAUAUUCAAGUUCAAGUCCUUUCGCAUCAUUGUCAGUGUAGAAGGCAUUGAUGGUCCUUUGCAUCCAGUUUUUUACAGUGUGAACCUAGUCUUUAUUCCUGUUUCCGAUUUGGUGGAAUAUCCAAUUUGCAAUUUGCGGUAAAACUUUCCUGCUGCUUGUUUCCUAUGUUGAAUGUAGAUGGCGCUUAGGUUUGAUUGUCGGGCUAUGUGCCAUACUUCCUGAGUUGUUUCUUCUAAUUAAACAUUGUGUUUUUUGCUAUGCUCCUGUUCCAUGUUGUCCUAAACGCCUAAUAUUGUUUGUUACUGGCCAAUCUUGUUCUUUUCGUUGUGAUUCAUUUGACGAGCAUGUUGAUUUCAUGUUUAUUUGUUUUUUAGAAUGGAAUUGAGUUUUAUUUGUUAGUAGAAUUCAUUUCUUAGGGAUGACAUACGCAUACGUAUUUUAAAAUUUAGUGAAAGAAGACGGUCGCUCCCACCAUAAGGGGACUAAAAAAUAACUCAAUGCUGUUAAAUUAUCGUUAUGGUGCUGCCAUGAUGCUAUAACGUGUCAUUUUCUUUGCUUAUUCUGUCUGUUCAUCACUUCAGAUACUCAGUCAAUUUUCACUCAUGUUUCUCAAUGUAUGUGUUUAUAUGUUCACCAUCAAUCCAAUGAUAUUGUGCUGACUUUUUUUUUUAAUAUAUAUUUCGUAAUUUAGUUCUGUUUUUUGAACUUCUGAAACACGUUGCAUGAGGUUUUUUUUUUUUUAAUUAAACCGAUGUUGUUUCCAAUAAAAAUUUCAGUUCAAGGACUAUGUGAAACCCACUCAAUCAAAUUCUUUCGAGAUUUGAUUCCAGUCUAUGAUCCUGUCGUUUUAAAUUUGUUUUUGCAGUCUUUUCUGUUAUUAUACAUUCUCCAUGGCUUCCAUCAUUGACUGAAUUUGGAUUCUUUGCUCGGUUUUUUGUGCCUGCCCUUUUACCGUGCCUACAAAAUAGACUGAUUUUGAUAUUUUAAAACAUAUUUGAAAGCUUUUUUAAUUUACCAAUAUUAGUAUAUUUGGAAGACUCAGGAGAGACAAUUCUAAAAUCUCAACAGAGUCUGGGUAGAAAAGGUUGGUCAAUUCUUUUGCAGUCCUCGGUUGGCUUCAAUGCAUGUACACUUUAGCCUGUCAGUUUACCUUUUUUAUAUUUUAAUUUGAUAAUGAAUAGAAAAUAAAACGGCCUUGCAAAUUAAGUAACAAAAAUGAGUCAAGGUUUAGAUGACUGCCAUAUCUUACUAGUUUAGGACUAUUCUAAAAUUGGAAAGAUGAGACUACCAUUUUUUGGGGAAUGUGCUAUACUGGAGAACAAAGCAGACAUGCCUCAAAUGUUGUAUGCUGUUGUACCUUGGUUGUACAAGUUAAUGGAAACCUUUCCAGACAAGAUUGUCCUUGGAUGUGGGUAGUUUCUACCUCACCUUUGAGAAAAAGCUUUACUUGAUUGCUAUAGCUUUACUAAUUUAGGAGUUCUGAAACUUGAAACGACUUCCGAUUGACUACCGCCUCCUUUUUUUUGUGGAUAAAUGUAUAAAAUGUAUCUUGGAGAAACGUAAGGCCUAUCUCAAAUAUUGACAUAGUAGUGUAGAUCUACCUUGGCUGUAGAAAUCAAUGGUUAGCUUUCAAAACGAGAUUGUUCUCGGGUGUGGGUAGAUUGUACCUACAGAAAACUCUCUUUCGCUUGAUAUCUGUGAACCGUUUAUUCAUUUAAUAUCCUGAUCUCUUGAAUGUGUA